UGACACCGUAACUUCGGGAUAAGGUGUGCCACUGAGGGUGAAGAGCCUUGCGCUCGUAAGCCUUCGGGGGUUGCAACAAAGAGGCGGUAGCGACUGUUUACCAAAAACACAGGCCUGUGCGAAGCCGUAAGGCGACGUAUACGGGUUGACGCCUGCCCGGUGCCGGAAGGUUAAGGGGAGUGGUCAGCGAAAGCGAAGCUGCGAACCGAAGCCCCGGUAAACGGCGGCCGUAACGAUAACGGUCCUAAGGUAGCGAAAUUCCUUGUCGGGUAAGUUCCGACCUGUACGAAUGGCGUAACGACUUCCGCGCUGUCUCGAUCACGGUCUCAGCGAAAUUGACAUUGGGGUGAAGAUGCCCCAUACCCGCAGCAAGACGGAAAGACCCUGUGAACCUUUACUCUAACUUGGCAGCGACAUUCGGUUCAGCUUGUGUAGGAUAGGUGGGAGACGAUGAAGCGGGGGCGCCAGCCUUCGUGGAGUCAACGUUGAAAUACCACCCUGGUUGUGCUGGAUGUCUAACCCGGCCCUUGUGGCGGGGAUACUGCCUGGCGGGGAGUUUGACUGGGGCGGUCGCCUCCCAAACAGUAACGGAGGCGCGCAAAGAUUCCCUCAGCGUGAUCGGAAACCACGCGCAGAGUGCAAAGGCAGAAGGGAGUUUGACUGCAAGAUCGACAGAUCGAGCAGGUGCGAAAGCAGGCCUUAGUGAUCCGGCGGUCCCACAUGGGAGGGCCGUCGCUCAUCGGAUAAAAGGUACUCCGGGGAUAACAGGCUUAUCACGCCCAAGAGUUCACAUCGACGGCGUGGUUUGGCACCUCGAUGUCGGCUCAUCGCAUCCUGGGGCUGGAGCAGGUCCCAAGGGUUUGGCUGUUCGCCAAUUAAAGCGGUACGCGAGCUGGGUUCAAAACGUCGUGAGACAGUUUGGUCCCUAUCUGCUGUGGGCGCAGGAGAGUUGAGAGACGCUGUCCUUAGUACGAGAGGACCGGGAUGGACGUUCCUCUGGUGUUCCGGUUGUCGCGCCAGCGGCAUAGCCGGAUAACCAUGAACGGAAGGGAUAACCGCUGAAAGCAUCUAAGUGGUAAGCCCAUCUCCAGAUAAACUCUCCCUUGAGGGCCCAGAAAGACCAUCUGGUUGAUAGGCGGGGCGUAUAAACGCAGCAAUGCGUGCGCGGACCCGUACUAAUCGCCCGAACGACUUGACCCU
Molecule: ribosomal RNA, 1200 nt
Filed under: metagenome
Description: bacterial LSU rRNA
Rfam family: Bacterial large subunit ribosomal RNA
Source: RNAcentral